Molecule: ribosomal RNA, 27 nt
Filed under: Elatine gussonei
Lineage: Eukaryota; Viridiplantae; Streptophyta; Magnoliopsida; Malpighiales; Elatinaceae
Description: partial 18S ribosomal RNA
Source: RNAcentral
GCGGAAGGAUCAUUGUCGAAACCUGCC